RNAcentral lists this ribosomal RNA (372 nucleotides) under uncultured organism. Its description in RNAcentral is "bacterial SSU rRNA". It matches the Rfam family "Bacterial small subunit ribosomal RNA", at positions 526 to 896 of the family's 1533-position model. The record is from RNAcentral.
CAGAGGGUGCGAACGUUGCUCGGAAUUACUGGGCGUAAAGCGCGUGUAGGCGGGUCGGCAAGUCAGGCGUGAAAUCCCCAGGCUCAACCUGGGAACUGCGCUUGAAACUGCCGGUCUUGAGUAUCGGAGAGGGUGGCGGAAUUCCUGAUGUAGAGGUGAAAUUCGUAGAUAUCAGGAGGAACACCGGUGGCGAAGGCGGCCACCUGGACGAUUACUGACGCUGAGACGCGAAAGCGUGGGGAGCAAACAGGAUUAGAUACCCUGGUAGUCCACGCCGUAAACGAUGGGUGCUAGGUGUCUCGGGUAUUGACCCCUGAGGUGCCGUAGCUAACGCGUUAAGCACCCCGCCUGGGAAGUACGGCCGCAAGACUA